This is a non-coding RNA of Octodon degus (degu), 71 nucleotides long. Lineage: Eukaryota; Metazoa; Chordata; Mammalia; Rodentia; Octodontidae. The record is from the annotation of a RefSeq genome assembly.
GCAUGGGUAGUUCAGUGGUAGAAUUCUCACCUGCCAUGUGGGAGGCCCAGGUUCUAUUCCCGGCCCAUGCA